Molecule: long non-coding RNA, 1862 nt
Organism: Musa acuminata AAA Group (dessert banana)
Lineage: Eukaryota; Viridiplantae; Streptophyta; Magnoliopsida; Zingiberales; Musaceae
Exons: 5
Source: RefSeq, a predicted model, not a curated record
CUCUAAGCUUUGUGAAUUCAAUCCACCACAGUAGCCCAGAUCCCCAGUAUCUGGCAUCAGUUGGAGCAAUAAUCAUCCCAUCCAGCUGCAAGAGAGUGUGUGCAAUUCUUCAGGAUACAGUUCAUUGUCUGCUUCAUGUAGCUUAUGUUGCAGUGGUGGUUUUAUGGCUCACAAACUGAUCAGCUCCUAUAUCUGAAUGUGAUUACAAUCUGACUCCGGACAUGAGGUUUAGGGUCUGGAAACCUAUGUAUCAAAUCUUUCAAGUGGUGGUCAGGCACAACCUGUGCAAAUUAAUACAGAUACAUAUGCUUGGACUCUAUCUGAAUGCAAUGGCAAUCUGACUCUGGACAUGUAAAUUUGGGUCCUGAUAUCUGUGUUUCAGAUCUUUCGAGUUGUGGUCGGGCACAACCUAGACCAACAUACUGGAACAUGAUCAAACCCAAUUGCCACCCUUAGCAAAAGAAUAUAUUGUAGCCAACUGUUUCUAGCAAAACCAUUGUGUUUCUGUGCUGAAAAUUUGUGUUUCUAUAGCUGAGUUUUGAGGUUACCUGGAAAACUAUGUUGGGUUGACAAUAAGGUCCAGAGAAGGAGAUGGGCCCUACAAGGAACUCAUAUUCUUCAGGAACAACCAUAGUUGAUCCUCCCACCUUGCAAGCGGCAGCCCAUGCAGCCUGGAAAGCCUGCAUUAGCAGUUCAUGAUGUCAGAUCCAUGAGCAUCAACUCCUUGCCCACCAGUUUCAGUAAGCAGAAACAAGGAUCAGAGGAGAAGGCAACAAUGGCCACCUUUGUGUCAUCUGUGACACCGUCUCCCUUGGCUCCGAAAUCAAGCACGUCGAACGUGGCUGCUGCCUUCGUCGUAUACCCUGUUUUCGGCGGCGGGCUUGGCUUGGGGCUCGGAGCGGGACUCUGGUGACCUCCUCCUCCACCGCCAUGGCUGUGGCCACCACCAUGCUUUCCUCUUCCCUUCUUUCUGGCCAAGGAGGAAUAAGAAGGCUUCUUCAGACUCCAAUGUUUUCCUUUCCUCCCCUCACAGCCAUCAAAGUUCGAGCACACCAGAAGAAGGACAAGGAGGAGCAACCCAAAGCAUGUCAGCCUACAUCCAGCCAUCUGAGAGAGGGGAGACAACAAGUGGAUGCUGAGGGGGAAUCAUCCACACAUCUUGUGACAAUCCGUAGGGAUAACUCUAUCCUAUCAGCCUCUGCAAACAUGCACAGCAUCACAGUGAAGAGAUGUUUAGGAUGCAACAUGAGGUGUGUGUGGGAGUGCUUUUUGCUGUAUUCAUAAGUAUUUUAAUUAUGGUACGUAGGUUGUAGUUUGCGGAUGCAAAAGCCAAAGGGGGGCACGUGAAGGGGUCGAAGAGGGGCAGUGACAGUAGCAGCUCCUCCUGAUCACAUGCAGCCGGUCACGGGCGGGAGUAUACUGCUUUGUCCACUAUGGGAGGCAACUGCCAGAUAGAGAAGAGGAGCAAAACAAGAGGGAGAAGGGGCCCCUGCCUUAAUGUUACCUAUCAUUCCUCCAACCAUGGUACCACCAAAGUCUGAUUCACUGCGCUACAAAUUCCAUUUAAGACCGGAGGAGAUGAUGCUGACCGCCAUGAAUGCACAUGAUUUGGAGCCGUCUUCUGGUGCUGUGGAGCUCGUGAAUUCUGCUGGUCUCGUGAAUCUGCAUGCAUUAAAGUAAGUCUUUCAAGGUUUGUUUAUGCUGCAACUUCCCCCCAUGUCUCUAUUUGUUGGCUUUUCUCUUCCUUCGAUAUCUGUUCAAGGGUGAUAACAACAGUAGAAAAUGCAAACUGGAGCAGAGUGGCUUUUGGUGCAACUCGAACUCAAGGAGAGCAAACUUAUAUAGAAUUCAUCAGGCUUUAC